GACGAACCGUGCGAACGUUGUUCGGAAUCACUGGGCUUAAAGGGCGCGUAGGCGGGCUGGCAAGUCUGGGGUGAAAUCCUCCGGCUCAACCGGGGGACGGCCUGAGAUACUGCCGGCCUCGAGGCGGGUAGGGGCGUGCGGAACUAUGGGUGGAGCGGUGAAAUGCGUUGAUAUCCAUAGGAACUCCGGUGGCGAAGGCGGCACGCUGGACCCGAUCUGACGCUGAGGCGCGAAAGCCAGGGGAGCGAACGGG
RNAcentral lists this ribosomal RNA (253 nucleotides) under uncultured bacterium. Its description in RNAcentral is "partial 16S ribosomal RNA". It matches the Rfam family "Bacterial small subunit ribosomal RNA", at positions 524 to 776 of the family's 1533-position model. The record is from RNAcentral.